AGGGGUUUGAAUCCUGGGGCUUCAGGAUGAACGCUGGCGGCGUGCCUAAUACAUGCAAGUCGAGCGAGCUCUUCGGAGCUAGCGGCGGACGGGUGAGUAACACGUGGGUAACCUGCCUGUAAGACUGGGAUAACUUCGGGAAACCGAAGCUAAUACCGGAUACGUUCUAGCUUGGCAUCAAGCUAGAUGGAAAGAUGGCGUAAGCUAUCACUUACAGAUGGACCCGCGGCGCAUUAGCUAGUUGGUGAGGUAAUGGCUCACCAAGGCGACGAUGCGUAGCCGACCUGAGAGGGUGAUCGGCCACACUGGGACUGAGACACGGCCCAGACUCCUACGGGAGGCAGCAGUAGGGAAUCUUCGGCAAUGGGCGAAAGCCUGACCGAGCAACGCCGCGUGAGCGAUGAAGGCCUUCGGGUCGUAAAGCUCUGUUGUUAAGGAAGAACAAGUACGAGAGUAACUGCUCGUACCUUGACGGUACUUAACGAGAAAGCCACGGCUAACUACGUGCCAGCAGCCGCGGUAAUACGUAGGUGGCGAGCGUUAUCCGGAAUUAUUGGGCGUAAAGCGCGCGCAGGCGGUUUCUUAAGUCUGAUGUGAAAGCCCACGGCUCAACCGUGGAGGGUCAUUGGAAACUGGGAAACUUGAGUGCAGAAGAGGAAAGCGGAAUUCCACGUGUAGCGGUGAAAUGCGUAGAGAUGUGGAGGAACACCCAGUGGCGAAGGCGGCUUUCUGGUCUGUAACUGACGCUGAAGCGCGAAAG
This 760-nucleotide ribosomal RNA is filed under the name uncultured Bacillota bacterium. Its description in RNAcentral is "bacterial SSU rRNA". It matches the Rfam family "Bacterial small subunit ribosomal RNA", at positions 1 to 759 of the family's 1533-position model. The record is from RNAcentral. Lineage: Bacteria; Bacillati; Bacillota.